RNAcentral lists this ribosomal RNA (235 nucleotides) under uncultured Candidatus Saccharibacteria bacterium. Its description in RNAcentral is "partial 16S ribosomal RNA". It matches the Rfam family "Bacterial small subunit ribosomal RNA", at positions 584 to 818 of the family's 1533-position model. The record is from RNAcentral. Lineage: Bacteria; Candidatus Saccharimonadota.
UAAGCGAAAUGUGAAAUCUUGUGGCUCAACCAUAAGACUAUGUUUUGAACUACUCAGCUAGAAGAUGAGAGAGGUACCUGGAAUUGCUAGUGUAGGAGUGAAAUCCGUAGAUAUUAGCAGGAACACCGAUGGCGUAGGCAGGGUACUGGCUCAUUCUUGACACUAAGGCACGAAAGCGUGGGUAGCAAACGGGAUUAGAUACCCCGGUAGUCCACGCCGUAAACUAUGCUUGCUA